GCCGCUCGCGCCCGACGGGACGGGCACCGGCCUUUUAAGCCGGACUGAAGGGGUUCGAGUCCUCUGGGCGGCA
This 73-nucleotide transfer RNA is filed under the name Actinoallomurus bryophytorum. It matches the Rfam family "tRNA". From Rfam's summary of the family: Transfer RNA (tRNA) molecules are approximately 80 nucleotides in length. Lineage: Bacteria; Bacillati; Actinomycetota; Actinomycetes; Streptosporangiales; Thermomonosporaceae. The record is from Rfam by way of RNAcentral.